This 505-nucleotide ribosomal RNA is filed under the name uncultured bacterium. RNAcentral's name for it is "partial 16S ribosomal RNA". It matches the Rfam family "Bacterial small subunit ribosomal RNA", at positions 28 to 507 of the family's 1533-position model. The record is from RNAcentral.
GACGAACGCUGGCGGCGUGCCUAAUACAUGCAAGUAGAACGCACAGUUUAUACCGUAGCUUGCUACACCAUAGACUGUGAGUUGCGAACGGGUGAGUAACGCGUAGGUAACCUGCCUGGUAGCGGGGGAUAACUAUUGGAAACGAUAGCUAAUACCGCAUAAUAUUGAUUAUUGCAUGAUAAUUGAUUGAAAGAUGCUAUUGCAUCACUACCAGAUGGACCUGCGUUGUAUUAGCUAGUAGGUGAGGUAACGGCUCACCUAGGCGACGAUACAUAGCCGACCUGAGAGGGUGAUCGGCCACACUGGGACUGAGACACGGCACAGACUCCUACGGGAGGCAGCAGUAGGGAAUCUUCGGCAAUGGACGAAAGUCUGACCGAGCAACGCCGCGUGAGUGAAGAAGGUUUUCGGAUCGUAAAGCUCUGUUGUAAGAGAAGAACGGGUGUGAGAGUGGAAAGUUCACACUGUGACGGUAUCUUACCAGAAAGGGACGGCUAACUACGUG